UGGGGAAUAUUGCACAAUGGGCGCAAGCCUAAUGCAGCAACGCCGCGUGAGGGACGACGGCCUUCGGGUUGUAAACCUCUUUUAGUAGGGAAGAAGCGAAAGUGACGGUACCUGCAGAAAAAGCACCGGCUAACUACGUGCCAGCAGCCGCGGUAAUACGUAGGGUGCGAGCGUUGUCCGGAAUUAUUGGGCGUAAAGAGCUCGUAGGCGGUCUGUCGCGUCUGCUGUGAAAACCCGAGGCUCAACCUCGGGCCUGCAGUGGGUACGGGCAGACUAGAGUGCGGUAGGGGAGAAUGGAAUUCCUGGUGUAGCGGUGGAAUGCGCAGAUAUCAGGAGGAACACCGAUGGCGAAGGCAGUUCUCUGGGCCGUAACUGACGCUGAGGAGCGAAAGCGUGGGGAGCGAACAGGAUUAGAUACCCUGGUAGUCCACGCCGUAAACGUUGGGCGCUAGAUGUGGGGCACCAUUCCACGGUUUCCGUGUC
Molecule: ribosomal RNA, 483 nt
Filed under: uncultured bacterium
Lineage: Bacteria
Description: partial 16S ribosomal RNA
Rfam family: Bacterial small subunit ribosomal RNA
Source: RNAcentral